Non-coding RNA from Cryptococcus depauperatus CBS 7841, 103 nucleotides. NCBI's taxonomy places the organism in Eukaryota, Fungi, Basidiomycota, Tremellomycetes, Tremellales, Cryptococcaceae. The record is from Rfam.
GGCGACAUCGUCCAGUGGUUAGGACAUUCGGUUUUGAGUGUAAAAUCUGCGGUUACAAGAACUUGAAGUCCGAAAAACCUGGGUUCGAUCCCCAGUGACGCCU